This 78-nucleotide small nuclear RNA is filed under the name Homo sapiens (human). Its description in RNAcentral is "partial ncRNA". Lineage: Eukaryota; Metazoa; Chordata; Mammalia; Primates; Hominidae. The record is from RNAcentral.
AGAAUCACUUGAACCCAGGAGGCUGAGGUUGCAGUGAGCCUGAGAUUGCGCCACUGCUUUCCAGCCUGGGCAACAAGA